CAACAUGUCUCGACCAAAUAUACCCACCUUUCGUAGUACGGGUUAAUCGCGAAGUUACACCACACGAGUGAGUAACACUAGGUUACGUUGUAGAUAAUGUAGAUAAUGUUUAGCCUACAUUUACAACCAUUGCAAGUGUGAAUGUGUUGUGUUUGCAUUGCAACUGCAACAGUGGUAAUGUUAAUUGUAAUGAAAUCAGACAAUUGCAGUUACUAGCAUCCUAAUUAGCCAAAUUAAUUAGCCUAAUGAACGCCAUGGCACUUAAUUUGUGAUGCUGUAUCGCCACCCUAUGGUGUUCGAGUAUAAGUAGGCCUACCCGAUUUUUUUUAUGUUGGUCAAAGCGAAAUAAAGUGAUAUAAGUGUGUCAGUUUACGUGUAAAUUUGUAAAAUUAAAUUUGCGAAUAACUCUUAGCUUUUUCAUACUGUUACCUAGUACACUGAAAAAAUGACUUCUUCACCCUGUAAUUACCAAAAUUAUUUGUUUAAAUUCUACAGUAAAUUUUCAUUUAGGUGCUUUUACUUUAUAAUAUCACCCUCACAUCAAGUAAUAUUAACUAUAGCACUGCACGACCUGACACGAAAAAGUACAUUUUACUUGGGUAAUGGAAGUGAAUCUGACAACCUUGUAGCACUCAAUAAGUGACGUCAGGUUAGCGCGGUUUCUUAGCAGAGACGCAUCUAAAGAAACCUUGAUGAAAAAAUCCACAAAUGAGAAGCGACAGAGGACGUCAACAAAGAAACCAUCCAAGAGGACUGUGCUCAUCAAGUCUUGAACAUUUUCGUCAUCCGUGGAAAUGAAGCACAGGAAGAUCACAGCCCUGUUCAUGUGUCGAUCAUCAUUGAGGGAAAAGAGGUUCUUGCUGACUGUAAAAGUGUGGCAAAGGCUUGCCUUCUGCUCAUGGACUUUAUUUAUGCAAUGAACUUGAGCUACCCAUCAAAGUUGAAAUACUCAUUUGAGGUGUUUCAGAAGGUCUUUCUUGUACUUGAUGUUCUGAAGAUGUCUCCUAAAAUCUGGUCUUUGCACAACAAACUUGUAGUAUGAAUAUGUGCACAUAAGUGUCUGAACCAAGUAAAGUCAAAUACUUGGCUAGUAAGGAAAAAUAGUUGGAGAAUUACUUUCAAAGUUCAGCUACAAGCUUUUUUUUGUUGCAGCAGUGGUCACCAAACUGGCGUGUGGAAGCAUUAGAGGUUGGAGUGAUUUAAAAAAUACACUAUAAAUUGUUACAUACAACUGUUGAUGGAGUCCCCUUUUGAAAGGCUCGAAAUACAGUGCUUUGUUCUGGUUUCACUUGUUUACCUUUCUGACAAAGUUAUUGCACUUUGAUACUUCUUGGUAUUUUGUUGGGCAUUUUAGCUCUCUAGCUCACUAUUUUGGGGCAUUUUAGCUCUUCAAAACCUUGACAGAAGUCCUUUUUGAAACUGUUUUAGUGUUUUAACAAAAGUUAACAUUUUUGACAUGUCUGUUGGCAGCAGUGAUUUUUAAAAUGUCUAAUACCAACCAUGUUGCACUGUAUGUCUUGCACUUAAGUAUAUGUUGCACAUAAAACAGCUACUUCAUGAACCAGAAAAAAUAAAGAUUAUCUAAAAACAUC
Long non-coding RNA from Paramormyrops kingsleyae, 1592 nucleotides. RefSeq lists it as uncharacterized. The record is from RefSeq and is a predicted model, not a curated record. Lineage: Eukaryota; Metazoa; Chordata; Actinopteri; Osteoglossiformes; Mormyridae.